AGCAGCCGCGGUAAUUCCAGCUCCAAUAGCGUAUAUUAAAGUUGUUGCAGUUAAAAAGCUCGUAGUUGAAUUUCGGGGUUAGUAGAUUGGUCAUGCCUCUGGUAUGUACUGGUCUCACUGAUUCCUCCUUCCUGAUGAACCUUAAUGCCAUUAAUUUGGUGUUUUGGGGAAUUUGGACUGUUACUUUGAAAAAAUUAGAGUGUUUAAAGCAAGCUAACGCUUGAAUACAUUAGCAUGGAAUAAUGAAAUAGGACGUUCGAUCCUAUUUUGUUGGUUUCUAGGAUUGACGUAAUGAUUAAUAGGGAUAGUUGGGGGCAUUAGUAUCCAAUUGUCAGAGGUGAAAUUCUUGGAUUUAUUGAAGACUAACUACUGCGAAAGCAUUUGCCAAGGAUGUUUUCAUUAAUCAAGAACGAAAGUUAGGGGAUCGAAGACGAUCAGAUACCGUCGUAGUCUUAACCAUAAACUAUGCCGACUAGGGAUCGGAUGAUGUUAAUUUUUUAAUGACUCA
This 508-nucleotide ribosomal RNA is filed under the name uncultured glomeraceous AM fungus. RNAcentral's name for it is "SSU rRNA". It matches the Rfam family "Eukaryotic small subunit ribosomal RNA", at positions 569 to 1078 of the family's 1831-position model. The record is from RNAcentral. Lineage: Eukaryota; Fungi; Glomeromycota; Glomeromycetes; Glomerales; Glomeraceae.